Molecule: unclassified non-coding RNA, 331 nt
Filed under: soil metagenome
Description: partial contains 5.8S ribosomal RNA, internal transcribed spacer 2, and large subunit ribosomal RNA
Rfam family: 5.8S ribosomal RNA (bases 1-120)
Source: RNAcentral
GAUGAAGAACGCAGCAAAAUGCGAUAAGUAAUGUGAAUUGCAGAAUUCAGUGAAUCAUCGAAUCUUUGAACGCACAUUGCGCCCGCCAGUAUUCUGGCGGGCAUGCCUGUUCGAGCGUCAUUUCAACCCUCAAGCACAGCUUGGUGUUGGGACUCGCGUUAAUUCGCGUUCCUCAAAUUGAUUGGCGGUCACGUCGAGCUUCCAUAGCGUAGUAGUAAAACCCUCGUUACUGGUAAUCGUCGCGGCCACGCCGUUAAACCCCAACUUCUGAAUGUUGACCUCGGAUCAGGUAGGAAUACCCGCUGAACUUAAGCAUAUCAAUAAGCGGGGA